Molecule: long non-coding RNA, 206 nt
Organism: Eptesicus fuscus (big brown bat)
Lineage: Eukaryota; Metazoa; Chordata; Mammalia; Chiroptera; Vespertilionidae
Exons: 3
Source: RefSeq, a predicted model, not a curated record
CAGCUUUAAGCAGAACAUGGAGAAUAGUGGUUCUUUUCUAGACAAGAGCUGGAACAGAAUAUCUUCCAAGGCAGGUAAUACAUCUCACUCUUGAAAACUCACAAGAACCAUAGAGACCUGUUGUGGAAGACCACUGCAUCACAAGAUGGAAGGAGUAUGGAUCUGUGUGUCACUAAUUAAAAGAGAAUGAUCCAAGAGAGCUACCC